This 253-nucleotide ribosomal RNA is filed under the name uncultured bacterium. Its description in RNAcentral is "partial 16S ribosomal RNA". It matches the Rfam family "Bacterial small subunit ribosomal RNA", at positions 524 to 776 of the family's 1533-position model. The record is from RNAcentral.
UACGGAGGGUGCAAGCGUUAUCCGGAUUUACUGGGUUUAAAGGGUGUGUAGGCGGGCUUUUAAGUCAGUGGUGAAAUCUCCGGGCUCAACCCGGAAACUGCCAUUGAUACUAUUAGUCUUGAAUUUUGUUGAGGUAGGCGGAAUAAGUCAUGUAGCGGUGAAAUGCUUAGAUAUGACUUAGAACACCGAUUGCGAAGGCAGCUUGCUAAACAAAUAUUGACGCUGAGGCACGAAAGCGUGGGGAUCAAACAGG